GAUGCCUCUUUUCAUUAUGCUUGACCUUAUAUGAAGCGAUAAUCUAGACGAAUUUUACGAAGCCUAUCAUCUGUGA
Molecule: transfer RNA, 76 nt
Filed under: Shewanella putrefaciens
Lineage: Bacteria; Pseudomonadati; Pseudomonadota; Gammaproteobacteria; Alteromonadales; Shewanellaceae
Description: tRNA-Asn
Source: RNAcentral